This 253-nucleotide ribosomal RNA is filed under the name uncultured bacterium. Its description in RNAcentral is "partial 16S ribosomal RNA". It matches the Rfam family "Bacterial small subunit ribosomal RNA", at positions 524 to 776 of the family's 1533-position model. The record is from RNAcentral.
UACGUAGGGUGCAGGCGUUACUCGGAAUUACUGGGCGUAAAGCGUGCGCAGGCGGCUCUUUAAGUCAGAUGUGAAAGCCCCGGGCUUAACCUGGGAAUUGCGUUUGAAACUGGAGAGCUGGAGUGUGGAAGAGGGGGGUGGAAUUCCAGGUGUAGCAGUGAAAUGCGUAGAGAUCUGGAGGAACACCGAUGGCGAAGGCAGCCCCCUGGGCUAACACUGACGCUCAUGCACGAAAGCGUGGGGAGCAAACAGG